CAUUAAAGAGUUCUAUAACUCCCAAACCCAUGUGAACAUACCUAACGUUGCCUCGGCAGGUCGCACCUACCUUGUAGCACCCUACCCUGUAGGGCCUACCCGGGAGGUGCGGGUAAGCCUGCCGGCGGCCCACCAAACUCUGUUUGAUAUUGAAUUCUGAACCUAUAACUAAAUAAGUUAAAACUUUCAACAACGGAUCUCUUGGUUCUGGCAUCGAUGAAGAACGCAGCGAAAUGCGAUAAGUAAUGUGAAUUGCAGAAUUCAGUGAAUCAUCGAAUCUUUGAACGCAUAUUGCGCCCAUUAGUAUUCUAGUGGGCAGGACCGUUCGAGCGUCAUUUCAACCCUUAAGCCUUCGUUGCUUAGUGUUGGGAGCCUACGGCAACGUAGCUCCUCAAAGUUAGUGGCGGAGUUGGUUCACACUCUAGACGUAGUAAUUUUUUAUCUCGCCUAUUAGUUGGACUAAUCCCCUGCCGUAAAACCCCCAAUUUAUCAAGGUUGACCUCGAAUCGGUUCAGACAAACUCGCUAAAUUGAAGCAUCUUAGUCAGCGAAGGAAAAGAAACCAACAGGGAUUGCCCUAGUAACGGCGAGUGAAGCGGCAACAGCUCAAAUUUGAAAUCUGGCCCUCGGGUCCGAGUUGUAAUUUGUAGAGGAUGCUUUUGGCGCGGUGCCUUCCGAGUUCCCUGGAACGGGACGCCUUAGAGGGUGAGAGCCCCGUACGGUUGGACACC
Molecule: ribosomal RNA, 730 nt
Filed under: fungal endophyte
Lineage: Eukaryota; Fungi
Description: eukaryotic LSU rRNA
Rfam family: Eukaryotic large subunit ribosomal RNA (bases 497-730)
Source: RNAcentral